Long non-coding RNA from Pseudopipra pipra, 482 nucleotides. RefSeq lists it as uncharacterized. The transcript is spliced from 2 exons. NCBI's taxonomy places the organism in Eukaryota, Metazoa, Chordata, Aves, Passeriformes, Pipridae. The record is from RefSeq and is a predicted model, not a curated record.
UGCCGCCCUGCCGUCCUUCGCUCCUCUUUUUCUGCCUUCCUCCGUAUUGCCAGAGCUUCCUGCCUCAGCAGGGCAGGGCUUGCCUGAGGAAACCGGAGAGAGAGAGAGAAAAGGCGUUCGUUAGAGAUAUCUCACGUCUCGUGGGGUAAUUACAGCCCCGCUAGAUCGCUGAACACAAAGGUGUCCUUUAGAGACGAGGAUUGCCUAAAUUAAUGAUGAAAUGCUAAUUAAUGGCAACCAGCAGGAAGUUCUCCAGGGAGCAGUAUGGAGUGCACAAGCAGUGAGACUUUGGUUCAGUUCCCUACCUUGCGUGCAAUAUUGGUGCUUCCUGGAGUCAUAGCUCCCCAUAUAUAAACCAAGGAUAACAGUAUCUCCCUAGAGAGACUGGUCUGAAAAUACACUAAGGACUGUGUGACAAUGUAGGACCAACCUCUGUAAGGCCUACUGAUAAAAAGCAGUACAUAAAAGCCACCCAGGUGUUA